CGGAGGUGGCGAGCGUUACUCGGAAUCAUUGGGUGUAAAGGGCAGGUAGGCGGUCUAUUAAGUGAGGGGUGAAAUCUCCCGGCUCAAUCGGGAAACUGCCUUUCAAACUGGUAGACUUGAGUGUGAUAGGGGGAAGCGGAAUUAGCAGUGUAAGGGUGAAAUCUGUAGAUAUUGCUAAGAACACCAGCGGCGAAGGCGGCUUCCUGGAUCACAACUGACGCUGAUCUGCGAAAGCUAGGGGAGCAAACAGAAUUAGAUACUCUGGUAGUCCUAGCCGUAAACGAUGAGUACUAGGUGUUGGACCGUAAGGUUCAGUGCCGCAGCUAACGCAUUAAGUACUCCACCUGAGGACUACGACCGCAAGGUUA
Molecule: ribosomal RNA, 368 nt
Filed under: uncultured organism
Description: bacterial SSU rRNA
Rfam family: Bacterial small subunit ribosomal RNA
Source: RNAcentral